Molecule: long non-coding RNA, 403 nt
Filed under: Vigna radiata
Lineage: Eukaryota; Viridiplantae; Streptophyta; Magnoliopsida; Fabales; Fabaceae
Description: long non-coding RNA (VRAD_LNC000800)
Source: RNAcentral
UGGAUGGUCCUUCCUUUUAGGCUUAACAACCUUUUCCUGAUCUUCUUCAUCAUCAAGAUCAAUUACCUCUCCAAGAUAGUACUUGAUCCUCUUAUCAUAAUCAGGAAUUUGCGGAAGUACUAAAGGAGUAACAGUCACCUGAUUAAAGAUUUCCCUGAAUGGCUCUCGGAGACUUUCUUUCUCUUCUUCUUUUUCUUUGUCUUUGUUGCUUUUCUGCUCUUUAAAUUCAUCAACACUCUUCAUCUCUUCAUCUCCUUCCUCGCUGCUCUCAAUUUCAAUUAUUUGCCCUUCUGUCUUCCUUUUAUUUCUUGUUUAAACAACUUUGCACUCCUCUUUAGGGUUAACAUCAGUAUUAACCCUAAACUGAUUUUUCUCGGUGGUCUCUACCCUUUUAGACAGCUGC